RNAcentral lists this ribosomal RNA (496 nucleotides) under uncultured bacterium. RNAcentral describes it as "partial 16S ribosomal RNA". It matches the Rfam family "Bacterial small subunit ribosomal RNA", at positions 29 to 507 of the family's 1533-position model. The record is from RNAcentral.
ACGAACGCUGGCGGCGUGCCUAAUCCAUGCCAGUAGAACGCUGAAGAGAGGAGCUUGCUCUUCUUGGAUGAGUUGCGAACGGGUGAGUAACGCGUAGGUAACCUGCCUUGUAGCGGGGGAUAACUAUUGGAAACGAUAGCUAAUACCGCAUAACAAUGGAUGACACAUGUCAUUUAUUUGAAAGGGGCAAUUGCUCCACUACAAGAUGGACCUGCGUUGUAUUAGCUAGUAGGUGAGGUAAUGGCUCACCUAGGCGACGAUACAUAGCCGACCUGAGAGGGUGAUCGGCCACACUGGGACUGAGACACGGCCCAGACUCCUACGGGAGGCAGCAGUAGGGAAUCUUCGGCAAUGGGGGCAACCCUGACCGAGCAACGCCGCGUGAGUGAAGAAGGUUUUCGGAUCGUAAAGCUCUGUUGUAAGUCAAGAACGGGUGUGAGAGUGGAAAGUUCACACUGUGACGGUAGCUUACCAGAAAGGGACGGCUAACUACGUG